Molecule: transfer RNA, 37 nt
Filed under: Orthotrichum rivulare
Lineage: Eukaryota; Viridiplantae; Streptophyta; Bryopsida; Orthotrichales; Orthotrichaceae
Description: partial tRNA-Leu
Source: RNAcentral
AAAAAUCCGUUGGAUUUAUUUACCGUGAGGGUUCAAG